GAUGAACGCUGGCGGCGUGCCUAACACAUGCAAGUCGAGCGAAGCGCUCAGGAGGAAGUUUUCGGAUGGAAUCCUGAAUGACUGAGCGGGCGACGGGUGAAGGUACACGUAGGUAACUGCCCGGAGCGGGGGAUAACAUUUGGAAACAGAUGCUAAUACCGCAUAACAACAAAAGCCACAUGGCUUUUGUUUGAAAGAUGGCUUUGGCUAUCACUCUGGGAUGGACCUGCGGUGCAUUAGCUAGUUGGUAAGGUAAUGGCUUACCAAGGCGAUGAUGCAUAGCCGAGUUGAGAGACUGAUCGGCCACAAUGGAACUGAGACACGGUCCAU
Molecule: ribosomal RNA, 330 nt
Filed under: uncultured bacterium
Lineage: Bacteria
Description: bacterial SSU rRNA
Rfam family: Bacterial small subunit ribosomal RNA
Source: RNAcentral